UGGAAUCUAACUCAGUGGGAGAGCUCCAGCUUAUCAUGCAUGAGGCCCUGGCUUCAAACCCCAGCACCAA
This 70-nucleotide transfer RNA is filed under the name Marmota monax (woodchuck). RNAcentral's name for it is "tRNA.Asp". Lineage: Eukaryota; Metazoa; Chordata; Mammalia; Rodentia; Sciuridae. The record is from RNAcentral.